Molecule: long non-coding RNA, 375 nt
Filed under: Equus asinus (donkey)
Lineage: Eukaryota; Metazoa; Chordata; Mammalia; Perissodactyla; Equidae
Description: lncRNA (ENSEASG00005037073.1)
Source: RNAcentral
CUGAUGGAUUGGAUGUGCAGUGUGAAAGAAAGCCUGAACAACUGGAAUAGUGGCAUUACUGUAUACUGAAAUGAAGAAAACUGGACAAAUAUAAAAAGGUUUGGAAGUCUGCAAAAAAUUCAUCUAUGCCCUUCAGACAUUUUGGCCCAGCUCUCCAGUAUCCUUACCUUAAAUCGCUUCAAAAUACGGCAAAUUCGUUGAAGCCAAAGCUCUAACAGAUCAAGCCAGAUCUUCAGCAAGCACCCAGAAUCAGAAAAUGCCCACAGGGGAAAGAAAGCAAUAGAAAAUAAGUGUCCAAACCAACACCUAAGAAGAAUAUCAUGGGAUAAGAGAAUGCAUCAUCCACAAAUGCUUUAUCAUACCCUGCUGUUUUGG